AUCUCAUCUGUCAAAUCACAGCACUGCAAGCCCGUCCCACUCUAUAAAAGUAUUGAGCUUGAGUUGUCUGUUUUACUCUCAGUCUGAGUUUUGAUGGACACAAGACACUCGAAAACUACUGGAGUCAAUGACAACUGGGAUCCUGAGCAUACAACCAGUAAUAUCCUGAACAAUAAUCAUCUGGUGAAGAUCGAAUACUUCCACUCUCAUCUCUAUCCACUUACGUGAUCAUUGUAUGAUUAAAUCAGAAAUCUACUUUAAUCACAGAGAGAUUAUAAUGGGCAACAAUGCAGCACAUGAAGCAGAGAGACGACGGCGUCGAGCAGAGGAGGAACAAAACAGAGCUCGAGCUGAAGCAGCAGAGGCACGCCAUCAAGCAGCAGAGGCACGCCGUCGAGCAGAGGAGGCACGCAACAGAGCUCAAGCUGAGAAAGCAGCACUCCAGCAAGAAUAUUCUAUCUUACAGCAAGAAAGAGAUUUGGAGAAAAUGAAACAAGAAGAAAAGAGAAUAAUAAAUGAGAAUAACAGAUUUAAAGAACAAGAAGAAAGGAAGAGAAUUCAACUAGAAAAGCAAAAGUCACUAAAUUAAAUCAAUAGCAAAUAAUUCUGUUGUACGAAAUGAAUUAUUAAUGAGAGAUUGAAUACUUGAACACAUUCUGUCACAUUUCUAUAGUUAUGUCAACUUUUAACAAGGCAAAACUUAAAUGGUAGGUUGAAUUGAAUUACAAAACAAAGUUGUUUUAACUGUAUUUAGCAUUUUUUACAGCGUAGGCUAUACUUUAAAGGCUGUUUUCCUGGAUCCUGAACCACACUGUAUAAGUGAAAGCUUGCUGCUCUACUAAAAAAAAGUACUUCAGUUGGUAACACCUAAAAAAAUAAAUAGUUUAUGCAGGCAAAGGAAGUGUAAUUUUUGUAUCAUAAAUCAUACCUACAUACAGUUGUGCUCAAAAUGAUUUAUAUCCUUUGUAAAUAUGACCAAAGAAGUCUGUGAAAAUAAAUCUGCAUUGUUAAUACGCAUCUUUUGAUCUUUUAUUUAAAAAAAUCUACAAAAAUCCAACCUUUCAUUGGAGAAUAAUAAUUUUAAAUGGGUGUAAAUCUCAUUAUGAAAGAAAUAUUUUUCUCUAAUACACACUGCUCACAAUUAACCGCACCCUUUUAUUCAAUACAUUUUGCAACCUCCUUUUCCCAAGAGAACAGCUCUGAGUCU
Non-coding RNA from Misgurnus anguillicaudatus (oriental weatherfish), 1207 nucleotides. Lineage: Eukaryota; Metazoa; Chordata; Actinopteri; Cypriniformes; Cobitidae. The record is from RefSeq and is a predicted model, not a curated record.